GUGGUAAUGCCGGAUGUUCCACAUGAUCGCAUGUGAUUGUGGGAAAGAUUUCAUCGGCGUGGGAUGGGGUCGCGUCCUAUCAGCUUGUUGGUGAGGUAACGGCUCACCAAGGCUUCGACGGGUAGCCGGCCUGAGAGGGCGACCGGCCACAUUGGGACUGAGAUACGGCCCAGACUCCUACGGGAGGCAGCAGUGGGGAAUAUUGCACAAUGGGCGCAAGCCUGAUGCAGCGACGCCGCGUGAGGGAUGGAGGCCUUCGGGUUGUAAACCUCUUUUGUUUGGGAGCAAGCCUUCGGGUGAGUGUACCUUUCGAAUAAGCGCCGGCUAACUACGUGCCAGCAGCCGCGGUAAUACGUAGGGCGCAAGCGUUAUCCGGAUUUAUUGGGCGUAAAGGGCUCGUAGGCGGCUCGUCGCGUCCGGUGUGAAAGUCCAUCGCUUAACGGUGGAUCUGCGCCGGGUACGGGCGGGCUGGAGUGCGGUAGGGGAGACUGGAAUUCCCGGUGUAACGGUGGAAUGUGUAGAUA
This 524-nucleotide ribosomal RNA is filed under the name Bifidobacterium bifidum. Its description in RNAcentral is "bacterial SSU rRNA". It matches the Rfam family "Bacterial small subunit ribosomal RNA", at positions 160 to 696 of the family's 1533-position model. Lineage: Bacteria; Bacillati; Actinomycetota; Actinomycetes; Bifidobacteriales; Bifidobacteriaceae. The record is from RNAcentral.